GUAGGGAAUCUUCGGCAAUGGACGAAAGUCUGACCGAGCAACGCCGCGUGAGUGAAGAAGGUUUUCGGAUCGUAAAACUCUGUUGUUAGAGAAGAAUGUUGAUUAGAGUGGAAAAUUAAUCAAGUGACGGUAUCUAACCAGAAAGGGACGGCUAACUACGUGCCAGCAGCCGCGGUAAUACGUAGGUCCCGAGCGUUGUCCGGAUUUAUUGGGCGUAAAGCGAGCGCAGGUGGUUUAAUAAGUCUGAUGUAAAAGGCAGUGGCUCAACCAUUGUGUGCAUUGGAAACUGUUAGACUUGAGUGCAGUAGAGGAGAGUGGAAUUCCAUGUGUAGCGGUGAAAUGCGUAGAUAUAUGGAGGAACACCGGUGGCGAAAGCGGCUCUCUGGACUGUCACUGACACUGAGGCUCGAAAGCGUGGGUAGCAAACAGGAUUAGAAACCCCAGUAGUCC
RNAcentral lists this ribosomal RNA (450 nucleotides) under uncultured bacterium. RNAcentral describes it as "partial 16S ribosomal RNA". It matches the Rfam family "Bacterial small subunit ribosomal RNA", at positions 354 to 796 of the family's 1533-position model. The record is from RNAcentral.